This 157-nucleotide ribosomal RNA is filed under the name Multiclavula ichthyiformis. RNAcentral's name for it is "5.8S ribosomal RNA". It matches the Rfam family "5.8S ribosomal RNA". From Rfam's summary of the family: 5.8S ribosomal RNA (5.8S rRNA) is a component of the large subunit of the eukaryotic ribosome. Lineage: Eukaryota; Fungi; Basidiomycota; Agaricomycetes; Cantharellales; Hydnaceae. The record is from RNAcentral.
CAACUUUUAACAACGGAUCUCUUGGCUCUCGCAUCGAUGAAGAACGCAGCGAAAUGCGAUACGUAAUGUGAAUUGCAGAAUUCAGUGAAUCAUCGAAUCUUUGAACGCACCUUGCGCUCCUUGGUAUUCCGAGGAGCACGCCUGUUCGAGUGUUAUG